GACGUAGGGCGCGAGCGUUGUCCGGAUUUAUUGGGCGUAAAGAGCUCGUAGGCGGCUUGUCGCGUCGACUGUGAAAACCCGAGGCUUAACCUCGGGCCUGCAGUCGAUACGGGCAGACUAGAGUUCGGUAGGGGAGACUGGAAUUCCUGGUGUAGCGGUGAAAUGCGCAGAUAUCAGGAGGAACACCGGUGGCGAAGGCGGGUCUCUGGGCCGAUACUGACGCUGAGGAGCGAAAGCGUGGGGAGCGAACAGG
RNAcentral lists this ribosomal RNA (253 nucleotides) under uncultured bacterium. RNAcentral describes it as "partial 16S ribosomal RNA". It matches the Rfam family "Bacterial small subunit ribosomal RNA", at positions 524 to 776 of the family's 1533-position model. The record is from RNAcentral.